Molecule: ribosomal RNA, 468 nt
Filed under: uncultured bacterium
Lineage: Bacteria
Description: partial 16S ribosomal RNA
Rfam family: Bacterial small subunit ribosomal RNA
Source: RNAcentral
GACGAACGCUGGCGGCGUGCUUAACACAUGCAAGUCGAACGGAAAGGCCCUGCUUUUGUGGGGUGCUCGAGUGGCGAACGGGUGAGUAACACGUGAGUAACCUGCCCUUGACUUUGGGAUAACUUCAGGAAACUGGGGCUAAUACCGGAUAGGAGCUCCUGCUGCAUGGUGGGGGUUGGAAAGUUUCGGCGGUUGGGGAUGGACUGGCGGCUUAUCAGCUUGUUGGUGGGGUAGUGGCUUACCAAGGCAUUGACGGGUAGCCGGCCUGGGAGGGUGACCGGCCACAUUGGGACUGAGAUACGGCCCAGACUCCUACGGGAGGCAGCAGUGGGGAAUAUUGCACAAUGGGCGGAAGCCUGAUGAAGCAACGCCGCGUGCGGGAUGACGGCCUGCGGGUUGUAAACCGCUUUCGCCUGUGACGAAGCGUGAGUGACGGUAAUGGGUAAAGAAGCACCGGCUAACUACGUG